This 507-nucleotide ribosomal RNA is filed under the name uncultured bacterium. RNAcentral describes it as "partial 16S ribosomal RNA". It matches the Rfam family "Bacterial small subunit ribosomal RNA", at positions 28 to 507 of the family's 1533-position model. The record is from RNAcentral.
GACGAACGCUGGCGGCGUGCCUAAUACAUGCAAGUCGAACGCAUUUUCUUUCACCGUAGCUUGCUACACCGAAAGAAAAUGAGUGGCGAACGGGUGAGUAACACGUGGGUAACCUGCCCAUCAGCGGGGGAUAACACUUGGAAACAGGUGCUAAUACCGCAUAAUUCCAUUUACCGCAUGGUAAAUGGAUGAAGGGCGCUUUUGCGUCACUGAUGGAUGGACCCGCGGAGCAUUAGCUAGUUGGUGGGGUAACGGCCUACCAAGGCUGCGAUGCAUAGCCGACCUGAGAGGGUGAUCGGCCACACUGGGACUGAGACACGGCCCAGACUCCUACGGGAGGCAGCAGUAGGGAAUCUUCGGCAAUGGACGCAAGUCUGACCGAGCAACGCCGCGUGAGUGAAGAAGGUUUUCGGAUCGUAAAACUCUGUUGUUAGAGAAGAACAAGGAUGAGAGUGGAAAGUUCAUCCCUUGACGGUAUCUAACCAGAAAGCCACGGCUAACUACGUG